Molecule: ribosomal RNA, 425 nt
Filed under: uncultured bacterium
Lineage: Bacteria
Description: bacterial SSU rRNA
Rfam family: Bacterial small subunit ribosomal RNA
Source: RNAcentral
GAAUAUUGCGCAAUGGGGGAAACCCUGACGCAGCAACGCCGCGUGAGUGAGGAAGGUCUUCGGAUUGUAAAACUCUUUUAUUUGGGAAAAAUUGUCUAAUGGCUAAUAUCCAUUAGAUUUGAUGGUACCAAAGGAAUAAGGACCGGCUAACUUCGUGCCAGCAGCCGCGGUAAUACGAAGGGUCCAAGCGUUGUUCGGAAUCAUUGGGCGUAAAGCGCGCGCAGGCGGAUCAGCAAGUCAGGUGUGAAAUCUCGAAGCUCAACUUCGAAACUGCGCCUGAAACUGCUAGUCUAGAAUGUCGGAGGGGGCAGGGGAAUUUCACGUGUAGGGGUAAAAUCCGUAGAGAUGUGAAGGAACACCGGAGGCGAAGGCGCCUGCCUGGACGACUAUUGACGCUGAGGCGCGAAAGCGUGGGGAGCAAACAG